RNAcentral lists this transfer RNA (64 nucleotides) under Ectobius sp. Z254C. Its description in RNAcentral is "tRNA-Glu". The record is from RNAcentral. Lineage: Eukaryota; Metazoa; Arthropoda; Insecta; Blattodea; Ectobiidae.
AUUUAUGUAGUUUAAUUAAAACAUUACAUUUUCAUCGUAAAAACAAAAAAUAUUUUCAUAAAUA